AUUGAACGCUGGCGGCAGGCCUAACACAUGCAAGUCGAACGGUAACAGGAAACAGCUUGCUGUUUCGCUGACGAGUGGCGGACGGGUGAGUAAUGUCUGGGAAACUGCCUGAUGGAGGGGGAUAACUACUGGAAACGGUAGCUAAUACCGCAUAACGUCGCAAGACCAAAGAGGGGGACCCUCGGGCCUCUUGCCAUCGGAUGUGCCCAGAUGGGAUUAGCUUGUUGGUGGGGUAACGGCUCACCAAGGCGACGAUCCCUAGCUGGUCUGAGAGGAUGACCAGCCACACUGGAACUGAGACACGGUCCAGACUCCUACGGGAGGCAGCAGUGGGGAAUAUUGCACAAUGGGCGCAAGCCUGAUGCAGCCAUGCCGCGUGUAUGAAGAAGGCCUUCGGGUUGUAAAGUACUUUCAGCGGGGAGGAAGGGAGUAAAGUUAAUACCUUUGCUCAUUGACGUCACCCGCAGAAGAAGCACCGGCUAACUCCGUG
Molecule: ribosomal RNA, 490 nt
Filed under: uncultured bacterium
Lineage: Bacteria
Description: partial 16S ribosomal RNA
Rfam family: Bacterial small subunit ribosomal RNA
Source: RNAcentral